This is a non-coding RNA of Salmo salar (Atlantic salmon), 1388 nucleotides long. The record is from RefSeq and is a predicted model, not a curated record. Lineage: Eukaryota; Metazoa; Chordata; Actinopteri; Salmoniformes; Salmonidae.
GUUCUCAAGUCAUGUGAACUCGCAUACGUGCGGACGUGCUGCAGCUUACAGUCGUCUGAUUAGGUGUAAAACUAGUGACAGAGGGCCACCAGGAUGACUAGUGUGCUGUGUGGGCGAGCCCGGCUGGUGAUAACCCAGUCGUCAGGGCGUCAGGCCUUAUCUGCACUCCCGGGUGGGCUGGAUACGAACCUUCUCAGCUGCUGGUUCUGAUGAGCCUUAUUUUGUCGUGUCACGGGGGGACUCAGACUCAGGCCCUAGGACAGUAUGGCCUGAUGAAAACAUGGGACCAUUUGGCCCCCAGGACCAGCGGUUCCAGUUGCCAGGUAACUCAGGCUUUGACUUUCACCUGGAAGGCAUGGCAGACCAGAGGAUUAAAGGCCCAGUCCACCGGACGGUACCUGACGUUCUGACUGCUGCUACUAGCAGUGAGAGACAUGAGUUUGUAAUGGCCCAGUUUGUCAGCGAGUUUCAGGUCAAAAGUGUUCACAUGUUAUCGAUGAGCGUCCGCAAGGCAGAGCACUACUUUGAUCAGCCCAAUGUGAACUGUUCUAUACAGACCUGUCCUGAGCUGCUGAAGAAAGAGUUUGAAUCCUAUUUCCCCUCGGCCCCAGCCAGCGCCAUCACUGUUGUCACGGUGAAACACACCAGAUGUGAGGUGAUCGACAACGAAGUGAUCGACAGAGAACAGCUACUUCACAAAUUUGUUAGUGGUGCUAAGGAAAUCUGCUUUGCUCUGUGGACAGCUGGCUUCUGGGCUGACUUCAUUGACCCCUCAUCAGGAUCAGCUUUCUUUGGAUCUCACUCCAACCACCCACUACUCAAAGAGGAGGAGUGGAGCCAUCUAGGUUUCCAUAUCGAGGCCUCUGGAUCCUGCACAGUUAUCCGUCACGUCCUGAGGGGAACACCUACGUUUGUUGGAACUGUUUUCACUACCGCACCUGCUAACAGUCAUGUCAUGGAAAGACUUCAAGGCCAGUCAAGUGCAUUUGAAGACGGGGACUAGUUUUUAUAUUUAGUUAUCACCAUGUGAGAAUGAUGUAUCUCACUAUCCAAAAGACUGUUUGUGCCCUGACCUCUGUUUGUUCACUUUGGAUUGUUUUGGAGGAAAACCCUUACCCAUAAUGCCAUUGUCUUCACCACACCAGCAUGGAGAAAACGUUCUGAUGGGUUGUUGUCUUCAGACACAUGCCUAACUAUGUUAACCUGGUUCCAGAUCUGUUUGUGUUAUUCUGUUUGUGCUGUCUUGCCAAAGUUGGUACGAGGACACAAACAGAUCUGGGACCAGGCUAUAUAACUAUGUACUUGGAAGUAGACGGGUAGGUUGCGUACAGUACUGCAGCGAUCUAUUGUUGAUUCUGAUGAUAUCAUAAAGACUUGACUGAGGAAGA